GGAUUAGAUACCCUGGUAGUCCACGCCGUAAACGAUGAUCACUAGGUGUUGGAUCUGCAUUGCGGAUUCAGUGUCGAAGCUAACGCGAUAAGUGGUCCGCCUGGGGAGUACGGUCGCAAGAUUAAAACUCAAAGAAAUUGACGGGGGUCCGCACAAGCGGUGGAACAUGUGGUUUAAUUCGUCACUACGCGAGAAACCUUACCUGGAUUUGACAUAUAAUUGCCAUCUGUAGAGAUAUAGAGUUCUCGGUUUACCGAGACAGUUAUACAGGUGCUGCAUGGCUGUCGUCAGCUCGUGCCG
This 300-nucleotide ribosomal RNA is filed under the name uncultured bacterium. RNAcentral describes it as "bacterial SSU rRNA". It matches the Rfam family "Bacterial small subunit ribosomal RNA", at positions 775 to 1067 of the family's 1533-position model. The record is from RNAcentral.